Lontra canadensis (Northern American river otter) is the source of this 845-nucleotide long non-coding RNA. RefSeq lists it as uncharacterized. NCBI's taxonomy places the organism in Eukaryota, Metazoa, Chordata, Mammalia, Carnivora, Mustelidae. The transcript is spliced from 3 exons. The record is from RefSeq and is a predicted model, not a curated record.
AAUGACAAGCUUCCAGCCUUUGGACUUGGAAAGGAAGGGAAGUUACUUAAAUCUAGUAUCUUCCACAUGCCUGGGGCUAUUUCAAGAACAACAAAUCUCUGAGUGUUUAAAAACAGUGCUGGGGAAAUUAGAGCUACAGCAUUUUGUUCUGAAAAUAACUGGGACAGGAGAGGUGAACCAGUAGUGGUACAUGCGCGGGCAAAGCUCUCUGACUUCACUGCACAAUCGUCUCUUCCUCUUAAACAACCAGCUCCCAGUUACCACAAUGCCCCUGUGUACAGAGGAAAGCCAAAAUUAAAAGGUCUCUUUAAUACUCAAGUGGCAAAUUUGGACACUUCACCAAAGAAAAGAGAUGGGUAGCAACGAAGCACAUGAAAAGAUGCUCGACAUCGUUAAUCAUUAAGGAAAUGCAGGUUAAAACCAGAAUGGCUCCAGUGAACAAACCUGACAUUACCAAGUGCUGAGGAGGAUGAGGAGCCCUGGGAAUUCAUACCCUGCUGGUGGGAAUGCAAAAUGGUAUGGCCACUUUGGAAAGCAGAGUAUGUUUCUUGUAACAUGGAACAUGCAUUUACCAUAUACUGCCCAGAAAUCCCACUCCUAUGUAUUUAACCAAGAGAAAUGGCUACAUUAAGUCUCUCCAUCCAAAAAAUCCAACAAACCAGAGCAUAAAUGUUUAUUGUGGCUUUCAUUGUAGUCAUCCAAACCUGGCAACAACUCAAAUGUCUACCAACAGAUGAUGGCUAACGAGUCAUAAUUGCUGGAAUACCAGUUAGCAAUAAAAAGGAAAGACCUGACACAUGCCGCUAAUGAAUGAAUUUCAGAUGCUUUCUGCUAAGUGAAAGAAA